AGAACGAACGCUGGCGGCGCGUUUAAGCAUGCAAGUCGAGCGGCAAGGGCCUUCGGGCCCUAGAGCGGCGGACGGGUGAGUAACACGUGGACAAUCUGCCCCCCGGCCGGGAUAGCCAGGGAAACCUGGAUUAAUACCGGAUGAGACGGGACCCGCGAUGGCGGGAUCCGGGAAAGGCGCUGCGGCGCCGCCGGGGGAUGAGUCUGCGUCCCAUUAGCUAGACGGCGGGGUAACGGCCCACCGUGGCGACGAUGGGUAGCCGGCCUGAGAGGGUGGACGGCCACAUUGGAACUGAGACACGGUCCAGACUCCUACGGGAGGCAGCAGCUAAGAAUCUUCCGCAAUGGGCGAAAGCCUGACGGAGCGACGCCCGCGUGAACGAAGAAGGCCGUGAGGUUGUAAAGUUCUUUUCGGGAGGGGGAACAACCGUGGCAGGGAGUGGCCGCGGGAUGACGUGAAUCCCGGAAUAAGCCCCGGCUAACUACGUGCCAGCAGCGGC
RNAcentral lists this ribosomal RNA (499 nucleotides) under uncultured bacterium. Its description in RNAcentral is "bacterial SSU rRNA". It matches the Rfam family "Bacterial small subunit ribosomal RNA", at positions 26 to 518 of the family's 1533-position model. The record is from RNAcentral.